UAAAUUGGCCCUUGGCCGGCCACUCCCUCCUCCUUUGGUCAUUUUUCUCACACUCCACUCCCUCACACUCUCCUCUACCUCUCCCCCACGAAAAUGCUGCUGCCCCUUGCUCCCAUGGCCGGCCAUGGCCAUGGAAGGCACUCCAAGAUGAAGCUCCCUCCUCCCUCAAGCUCCUCCUCACCAUGAGAGCCUCCCUCUCCUUCUUCUCCCCAACCCUAGAUGGUUUUCUCUCCUCUUCCUCUUCCUCCAUUGCUAAGAUUGGAUCUUGAUGCAGGUGCAUGUUGUUCCAAGCAUGGAGAAGCUUGAGCUAUCCUUAGAUCUGAAGUUCUUGAGCAAAGUUCGUCCAAAUCCUUGCAGUAAUUUCUGCUAUCUUGCUGUUUCAGAUUCUGGUACGAACUUGUAAAAUCCACCAAAUCUCGUGCGCAGAUCCAAAUCGAGUGAUUCAAAGUUCCGCAGAUAGAUACGGAAAAGAUCUACAACUUGGCGUUGGUCUCAUCCUCAAAUUCGUUACGGAUUGUCCGUGUUCAAGAUCUGGUCAGAUCUGACUUUGUCGAAUUAAACCAGGAGCUUGGGAACGAAUGUUUGAAUGAAACCAAUUGGGGGAUGUUGGGUUAUACCAUGGUGAUAACCGAGAGAGGCAAUUUCUAAGUUGUGAUACUCUCAUACCUUUACUAGACGCGAGCAAUUCCGGAGAAGAAGAAGAAGUGGAAUUGGACAAGGAUUUUAUUUAUAUUGUUGGGAUUCUUAUAUUGAUAGAGUUGAAGAAGUACAGGGACAAAUAAGCCAAG
Lolium perenne is the source of this 788-nucleotide long non-coding RNA. RefSeq lists it as uncharacterized. Lineage: Eukaryota; Viridiplantae; Streptophyta; Magnoliopsida; Poales; Poaceae. The record is from RefSeq and is a predicted model, not a curated record.